RNAcentral lists this ribosomal RNA (464 nucleotides) under uncultured bacterium. Its description in RNAcentral is "partial 16S ribosomal RNA". It matches the Rfam family "Bacterial small subunit ribosomal RNA", at positions 339 to 795 of the family's 1533-position model. The record is from RNAcentral.
CUACGGGCGGCAGCAGUGAGGAAUUUUGCGCAAUGGGGGAAACCCUGACGCAGCAACGCCGCGUGAGUGAAGAAGGCUUUCGGGUCGUAAAGCUCUGUCAGAUAGGAAAAAAGUUCAUAUGUAAAUAGCUUAUGAAUCUGAUGGUACUAUCAGAGGAAGCACCGGCUAACUCCGUGCCAGCAGCCGCGGUAAUACGGAGGGUGCAAGCGUUGUUCGGAAUUACUGGGCGUAAAGGGCGUGUAGGCGGUAUGGUAAGUCAGAUGUGAAAGCCCUGGGCUUAACUCAGGAAGUGCAUUUGAUACUGCCAUCCUUGAGUAUGGGAGAGGAGAGUAGAAUUCCCAGUGUAGAGGUGAAAUUCGUAGAUAUUGGGAGGAAUACCCGUGGCGAAGGCGACUCUCUGGACCAAUACUGGCGCUGAGACGCGAAAGCGUGGGGAGCAAACAGGAUUAGAUACCCGUGUAGUC